This 162-nucleotide ribosomal RNA is filed under the name Asarum leucosepalum. RNAcentral describes it as "5.8S rRNA". It matches the Rfam family "5.8S ribosomal RNA". From Rfam's summary of the family: 5.8S ribosomal RNA (5.8S rRNA) is a component of the large subunit of the eukaryotic ribosome. It is transcribed by RNA polymerase I as part of the 45S precursor that also contains 18S and 28S rRNA. Lineage: Eukaryota; Viridiplantae; Streptophyta; Magnoliopsida; Piperales; Asaraceae. The record is from RNAcentral.
CACGACUCUCGGCAACGGAUAUCUUGGCUCUUGCAUCGAUGAAGAACGUAGCGAAAUGCGAUACUUGGGGUGAAUUGCAGAAUCCCGUGAACCAUCGAGUCUUUGAACGCAAGUUGCGCCCGAGACCUUUAGGUUGAGGGCACACCUGCUUGGGCGUCAUGC